Molecule: ribosomal RNA, 553 nt
Filed under: Xylocopa appendiculata
Lineage: Eukaryota; Metazoa; Arthropoda; Insecta; Hymenoptera; Apidae
Description: 12S ribosomal RNA
Source: RNAcentral
AAAAUUUAUUAAAAUAAUAAUUAAUAAUAAAAUAAAUAUAUUUAAGGUGAAAUUAAAAUAUAUUUUAAUAUUUAUUAAUAAAAAUUAAAUAAAUUUUGAAAUUUUAUAAAAAACUAGGAUUAGAUACCCUAUUAUAAAAAAUAAUAAAAUUAAUUAAUUAAUAAAUGUAAAUCAUUAAAAUUAAAAAUUUGGCAGUCAAUUAUUUUAUUAGAGAAAUUUAUUAAUUAAUUUGAUAAUACACGAUAAGAUAUACUUAAAUUUAUUUUUAUAUAUUGUUGUUUUUAAAUUUUAAUUAAAUGUUAUAAUUAAUAAAUUUUAUAAAAUUUUAAUUCAAAUCAAAAUGUAGAAUAUUUAAGGUUAUAAUGAAUUUUAAUUAAUUAAAUUAUUGAAUAAAUAUUUUUAAAAAUAUUUUGAAAGAAAAUUUAAUAGUAAAAUAUAAUUAAUUAUUAUAAUUGAAAUAAAUUUAAUUUGAUGUACAAAUUGCCCGUCAAUUUCAUUAUAAGUGAAAUAAGUCGUAACAUAGUAAAUAUAUUGGAAAAUGUAUUUAGUAAUG